RNAcentral lists this ribosomal RNA (430 nucleotides) under uncultured Gemmatimonadota bacterium. Its description in RNAcentral is "bacterial SSU rRNA". It matches the Rfam family "Bacterial small subunit ribosomal RNA", at positions 958 to 1385 of the family's 1533-position model. Lineage: Bacteria; Pseudomonadati; Gemmatimonadota. The record is from RNAcentral.
AACGCGAAGAACCUUACCUGGGCUUGACAUGCUGGUGUAAGCCGGUGGAAACAUCGGCCCCUCUUCGGAGCGCCAGCACAGGUGCUGCAUGGCUGUCGUCAGCUCGUGUCGUGAGAUGUUGGGUUAAGUCCCGCAACGAGCGCAACUCUCGCUCCCAGUUGCCAGCGGUUCGGCCGGGGACUCUGGGGGGACUGCCGGCGUUAAGCCGGAGGAAGGUGGGGACGACGUCAAGUCAUCAUGGCCCUUACGUCCAGGGCGACACACGUGCUACAAUGCCUGGUACAGCGCGUCGCGAACUCGCAAGAGGGAGCCAAUCGCCAAAAAGCCGGGCUAAGUUCGGAUUGUCGUCUGCAACUCGACGGCAUGAAGCCGGAAUCGCUAGUAAUCGCGGAUCAGCCACGCCGCGGUGAAUACGUUCCCGGGCCUUGUA